AGUGAGGAAUAUUGGGCAAUGGGCGCAAGCCUGACCCAGCCAAGCCGCGUGCAGGAUGACUGCCCUAUGGGUUGUAAACUGCUUUUAUAUAGGAAGAAAAAGUUUUACGAGUAAAGCACUGACGGUACUAUAUGAAUAAGGAUCGGCUAACUCCGUGCCAGCAGCCGCGGUAAUACGGAGGAUCCAGGCGUUAUCCGGAUUUAUUAGGUUUAAAGGGUGCGUAGGCGGAAAUUUAAGUCAGUGGUGAAAUCCUGCAGCUCAACUGUAGAACUGCCAUUGAUACUGGAUUUCUUGAGUAUAGAUGAAGUGGGCGGAAUGUGUCAAGUAGCGGUGAAAUGCAUAGAUAUGACACAGAACACCAAUUGCGUAGGCAGCUCACUAAACUAUUACUGACGCUGAGGCACGAAAGCGUGGGGAGCGAACAGGAUUAGAUACCCUGGUAGUCCACGCCGUAAACGAUGAUUACUCGAUGUAUGCGAUACACAGUAUGCGUCUGAACGAAAGUAUUAAGUAAUCCACCUGGGGAGUACGUCGGCAACGAUGAAACUCAAAGGAAUUGACGGGGGCCCGCACAAGCGGAGGAACAUGUGGUUUAAUUCGAUGAUACGCGAGGAACCUUACCUGGGCUUAAAUGCAGAAUGCAUUUACUCGAAAGAGUAAUUCCCUUCGGGGCUAUUUGCAAGGUGCUGCAUGGUUGUCGUCAGCUCGUGCCGUGAGGUGUCGGGUUAAGUCCCAUAACGAGCGCAACCCUUAUCGUUAGUUACCAUCUGGUAAAGCAGGGGACUCUAACGAAACUGCCAGUGUAAACUGAGAGGAAGGUGGGGAUGACGUCAAAUCAGCACGGCCCUUAUGUCCAGGGCUACACACGUGUUACAAUGGUCGAUACAAAGAGUUGCUUCUUGGCAACAAGUGGCUAAUCUCAAAAGUCGAUCUCAGUUCGGAUCGAAGUCUGCAACUCGACUUCGUGAAGUUGGAUUCGCUAGUAAUCGUAUAUCAGCAAUGAUACGGUGAAUACGU
This 1017-nucleotide ribosomal RNA is filed under the name uncultured bacterium. Its description in RNAcentral is "bacterial SSU rRNA". It matches the Rfam family "Bacterial small subunit ribosomal RNA", at positions 353 to 1371 of the family's 1533-position model. The record is from RNAcentral.